RNAcentral lists this ribosomal RNA (93 nucleotides) under Belliella filtrata. RNAcentral describes it as "partial 23S ribosomal RNA". It matches the Rfam family "Bacterial large subunit ribosomal RNA", at positions 2832 to 2925 of the family's 2925-position model. Lineage: Bacteria; Pseudomonadati; Bacteroidota; Cytophagia; Cytophagales; Cyclobacteriaceae. The record is from RNAcentral.
GGGCCGUCAGAGACGAUGACGUUGAUAGGCAGCAGGUGUAAAGUCAGAGAUGACAUAGCUGAGCUGUACUAAUUGCCCGAAAACUUACGUGCU